Molecule: small nucleolar RNA, 136 nt
Organism: Coturnix japonica (Japanese quail)
Lineage: Eukaryota; Metazoa; Chordata; Aves; Galliformes; Phasianidae
Source: Ensembl
AAGCACUGCCUUUGAACCUGGGGUGUCUUGUUUGUAGCUUCACAGGCCAAGCAGCAGUGCUAGAGCAUAAGGACUUGUUAUAACUGGGGCUCUUCAGCUCUCAACUGAACUGCUCUUUUAAAAACAAGGUACAUCU